This is a non-coding RNA of Bos taurus (domestic cattle), 73 nucleotides long. NCBI's taxonomy places the organism in Eukaryota, Metazoa, Chordata, Mammalia, Artiodactyla, Bovidae. The record is from Rfam.
UCCCUGGUGGCUCAGAGGUUAAAGCAUCUGCCCGCAAUGCGGGAGAUCUGGGUUUGAUCCCUGGGUCAGGGAA